UGGGAAAAUUUUGAAACUGCU
This 21-nucleotide non-coding RNA is filed under the name Caenorhabditis elegans. Lineage: Eukaryota; Metazoa; Nematoda; Chromadorea; Rhabditida; Rhabditidae. The record is from RNAcentral.